This 1580-nucleotide ribosomal RNA is filed under the name Glycomyces niveus. RNAcentral's name for it is "bacterial SSU rRNA". It matches the Rfam family "Bacterial small subunit ribosomal RNA". Lineage: Bacteria; Bacillati; Actinomycetota; Actinomycetes; Glycomycetales; Glycomycetaceae. The record is from RNAcentral.
AGAGUUUGAUCCUGGCUCAGUAGAGUUUGAUCCUGGCUCAGUAGAGUUUGAUCCUGGCUCAGUAGAGUUUGAUCCUGGCUCAGUAGAGUUUGAUCCUGGCUCAGGACGAACGCUGGCGGCGUGCUUCACACAUGCAAGUCGAACGGAAAGGCCCGCUUGCGGGUACUCGAGUGGCGAACGGGUGAGUAACACGUGGGUAACCUGCCCCCAUCUCUGGGAUAACCGUUGGAAACGGCGGCUAAUACCGGAUACGACCUGGCUCCGCAUGGUGCUGGGUGGAAAGUUUUUGCGGUUGGGGAGGGGCCCGCGGCCUAUCAGCUUGUUGGUGCGGUAGUGGCGCACCAAGGCUUUGACGGGUAGCCGGCCUGAGAGGGCGGUCGGUCACAUUGGGACUGAGAUACGGCCCAGACUCCUACGGGAGGCAGCAGUGGGGAAUUUUGCACAAUGGGCGAAAGCCUGAUGCAGCGACGCCGCGUGAGGGAUGACGGCUUUCGGGUUGUAAACCUCUUUUAUCCACCACGAAGGCCCCGUAUUCGCGGGGUUGACGGUAGUGGUUGAAUAAGCGCCGGCUGACUACGUGCCAGCAGCCGCGGUAAGACGUAGGGCGCGAGCGUUGUCCGGAUUUAUUGGGCGUAAAGGGCUCGUAGGCGGUUGAUUGCGUCCGCCGUGAAAGGCCUCGGCUUAACCGGGGUUUUGCGGUGGAUACGGGUCGACUUGAGGCAAUUAGGGGAGAUCGGAAUUCUACGUGUAGCGGUGAAAUGCGCAGAUAUGUGGAGGAACGCCGGUGGCGAAGGCGGAUCUCUGAGAUUGUUCUGACGCUGAGGAGCGAAAGCGUGGGGAGCGAACAGGAUUAGAUACCCUGGUAGUCCAUGCUGUAAACGGUGGGCGCUAGGUGUGGGGUCACGUUGGUUGAUUCUGUGCCGUAGCUAACGCAUUAAGCGCCCCGCCUGGGGAGUACGGCCGCAAGGCUAAAACUCAAAGGAAUUGACGGGGGCCCGCACAAGCGGCGGAGCAUGCGGAUUAAUUCGAUGCAACGCGAAGAACCUUACCUAGGUUUGACAUCACCCGGAAACCCCUAGAGAUAGGGGCCUCUUCGGACUGGGUGACAGGUGGUGCAUGGCUGUCGUCAGCUCGUGUCGUGAGAUGUUGGGUUAAGUCCCGCAACGAGCGCAACCCUUAUCCCGUGUUGCCAGCAUUCAGUUGGGGACUCACGGGAGACUGCCGGGGUUAACUCGGAGGAAGGUGGGGAUGAGGUCAAGUCAUCAUGCCCCUUAUGUCUAGGGCUUCACGCAUGCUACAUUGGCCGGUACAGCGGGUUGCGAUACCGUGAGGUGGAGCGAAUCCCUGUAAAGCCGGUCUUGGUUCGGAUUCGAGUCUGCAACUCGACUCGAUGAAGGUGGAGUCGCUAGUAAUCGCAGAUCAGCAACGCUGCGGUGAAUGCGUUCCCGGGCCUUGUACACACCGCCCGUCACGUCAUGAAAGUUGGCAACACCCGAAGCCUGCGGCCUAACCGGUUUACCGGAGGGAGUGGUCGAAGGUGGGGCUGGCGAUUAGGACGAAGUCGUAACAAGGUAGCCGUA